RNAcentral lists this ribosomal RNA (447 nucleotides) under uncultured bacterium. RNAcentral's name for it is "partial 16S ribosomal RNA". It matches the Rfam family "Bacterial small subunit ribosomal RNA", at positions 29 to 523 of the family's 1533-position model. The record is from RNAcentral.
AACGAACACUGGCGGCAGGCUUAACACAUGCAAGUCGAGCGCCCCGCAAGGGGAGCGGCAGACGGGUGAGUAACGCGUGGGAAUCUACCCAUCACUACGGAACAACUCCGGGAAACUGGAGCUAAUACCGUAUACGUCCUCCGGGAGAAAGAUUUAUCGGUGAUGGAUGAGCCCGCGUUGGAUUAGCUAGUUGGUGGGGUAAUGGCCCACCAAGGCGACGAUCCAUAGCUGGGCUGAGAGGAUGAUCAGCCACACUGGGACUGAGACACGGCCCAGACGCCUGCGGGAGGCAGCAGUGGGUAAUAUUGGACAAUGGGCGCAAGCCUGAUCCAGCCAUGCCGCGUGAGUGAUGAAGGCCCUAGGGUUGUAAAGCUCUUUCACCGGUGAAGAUAAUGACGGUAACCGGAGAAGAAGCCCCGGCUAACUUCGUGCCAGCCGCCGCCGUAA